RNAcentral lists this ribosomal RNA (782 nucleotides) under uncultured bacterium. RNAcentral describes it as "bacterial SSU rRNA". It matches the Rfam family "Bacterial small subunit ribosomal RNA", at positions 30 to 809 of the family's 1533-position model. The record is from RNAcentral.
UGAACGCUGGCGGCAGGCCCAACACAUGCAAGUCGAGCGGUAACAGAUCCAGCUUGCUGGAUGCUGACGAGCGGCGGACGGGUGAGUAAUGCAUAGGAAUCUGCCCGAUAGUGGGGGAUAACCUGGGGAAACCCAGGCUAAUACCGCAUACGUCCUACGGGAGAAAGGGGGCUCCGGCUCCCGCUAUGGGAUGAGCCUAUGUCGGAUUAGCUAGUUGGUGAGGUAAUGGCUCACCAAGGCAACGAUCCGUAGCUGGUCUGAGAGGAUGAUCAGCCACAUCGGGACUGAGACACGGCCCGAGCUCCUACGGGAGGCAGCAGUGGGGAAUAUUGGACAAUGGGCGAAAGCCUGAUCCAGCCAUGCCGCGUGUGUGAAGAAGGCCCUCGGGUUGUAAAGCACUUUCAGCGAGGAAGAACGCCUAGCGGUUAAUACCCGCUAGGAAAGACAUCACUCGCAGAAGAAGCACCGGCUAACUCCGAGCCAGCAGCCGCGGUAAUACGGAGGGUGCAAGCGUUAAUCGGAAUUACUGGGCGUAAAGCGCGCGUAGGUGGCUUGAUAAGCCGGUUGUGAAAGCCCCGGGCUCAACCUGGGAACGGCAUCCGGAACUGUCAAGCUAGAGUGCAGGAGAGGAAGGUAGAAUUCCCGGUGUAGCGGUGAAAUGCGUAGAGAUCGGGAGGAAUACCAGUGGCGAGGGCGGCCUUCUGGACUGACACUGACACUGAGGUGCGAAAGCGUGGGUAGCAAACAGGAUUAGAUACCCUGGUAGUCCACACCGUAAACGC